RNAcentral lists this ribosomal RNA (223 nucleotides) under Candidatus Portnoybacteria bacterium CG23_combo_of_CG06-09_8_20_14_all_37_13. Its description in RNAcentral is "partial 23S ribosomal RNA". It matches the Rfam family "Bacterial large subunit ribosomal RNA", at positions 1 to 218 of the family's 2925-position model. The record is from RNAcentral. Lineage: Bacteria; Candidatus Portnoyibacteriota.
AGAGUUACUCAUAAAUAAGGGCGUAUGAUGGAUGCCUCGGGAAGGGAAGGCGAUGAAGGACAUGGCGUAGCUGCGAUAAGCCUCGGGGAGUCGUUGAGCAGACUUUGAUCCGGGGAUUUCCGAAUGGGGAAACCCAUCCGCCGAAGAGGCGGAUAUUUAUGUCUGAAUUCAUAGGACAUAAAAGCAAACCUGGCGAAGUGAAACAUCUCAGUAGCCAGAGGAA